This 330-nucleotide unclassified non-coding RNA is filed under the name soil metagenome. RNAcentral describes it as "partial contains 5.8S ribosomal RNA, internal transcribed spacer 2, and large subunit ribosomal RNA". The stretch from base 1 to 120 matches the Rfam family "5.8S ribosomal RNA", at positions 35 to 154 of the family's 154-position model. The record is from RNAcentral.
GAUGAAGAACGUAGCGAAAUGCGAUAAGUAAUGUGAAUUGCAGAAUUCAGUGAAUCAUCGAAUCUUUGAACGCACAUUGCGCCCCCUGGUAUUCCGGGGGGCAUGCCUGUUCGAGCGUCAUUUCACCACUCAAGCCUCGCUUGGUAUUGGGCAACGCGGUCCGCCGCGUGCCUCAAAUCGUCCGGCUGGGUCUUCUGUCCCCUAAGCGUUGUGGAAACUAUUCGCUAAAGGGUGUUCGGGAGGCUACGCCGUAAAACAACCCCAUUUCUAAGGUUGACCUCGGAUCAGGUAGGGAUACCCGCUGAACUUAAGCAUAUCAAUAAGGGAGGA